Mus musculus (house mouse) is the source of this 964-nucleotide long non-coding RNA. RefSeq annotates it as predicted gene, 46160. Lineage: Eukaryota; Metazoa; Chordata; Mammalia; Rodentia; Muridae. The record is from RefSeq and is a predicted model, not a curated record. The transcript is spliced from 3 exons.
AGAGAGAGAGAGAGAGAGAGAGAGAGAGAGAGAUGCUGGAAAUGUGAACUCAGAUCCUCGGGAGGAACAGCAAACGCCCCUAACCACUGAACUAUCCUUCAUCCCCUGAUCCCACUUAUUUAAAACAACUACCUCUAUCUGUCCUUCCUCAUACUCCUGACUUGUCAAUGUCCUAGGAUAGGGAGGGAGCUGUCAGGUAGGUUCAAGUGUUCCUGGACACAUGGCCUUUUCUCCUCCUGCCCUUCUCUUUCCCAUCCUCUUCCCUCCUGUGGUCCUCCUCUUCCUGGGACACCACACCCUCCCUCUUCUGGGCACUCACUCUUUCUUCUCUGCUGGAUUUCUUUCAGAUACUUGAAGGUGAUGUUCUGCCAGUCAUCAAGUGAUCUGAAAUUAUUCUUACUGCCAUGGUUGAUCACCUGGACCAUUGACAAAGGCAAAAAAUAUAGGUCCCUUGGUAAAACAACAGACUUUAUCUCUCCCAACUUCCCAUGUGCCUUUUUAGGUAGAGAGUACAACGCAGUGCCUGGCUGUGAGCCAGAAGACCCAUGGGCCCUGGUAGACUCUGCCUGCCUCUUACCUUGAGAAGCGUGACAAGCAAAUGCAGCUAGUUUAUGGAAUAAUGGGGAUUUGCAGGAUGGUGAAGAGCCACAGGAAUAUGAGGGCCACAGAGGCUCUGAAGCAAGUCCUGACAGAGCAGUGCAUUGCGUCUGCACUGGGAUACGGCUUCUACAAUGAGAGGAGCCUGACAGAACACAACCCUGUUCCCUUCCUGGAGAGAGAAGGUCACCUAUCCGAUGAUGACAUGACAUAUGCUGCCUCUCUUCAUCUAUUUGUUUGGAGUUUCAACUCUCCUAAACUUUCCCCUUCUCAGAAUGAUAAGGGCUAGCUGGAAUGUUAUUAGCAUGUCAGUUUGUACUAGGAAACAGAUGGGCAUUGUAUUCUCUGCAUUUAAAACAAAAAAUAA